UACGUAGGUGACAAGCGUUGUCCGGAUUUACUGGGCGUAAAGAGCGCGCAGGCGGUGGAUCAAGUCGAGUGUGAAAGCCCCCGGCUCAACUGGGGAGGGUCACUCGAUACUGAUCGACUCGAAGGCAGGAGAGGGUAGUGGAAUUCCCGGUGUAGUGGUGAAAUGCGUAGAUAUCGGGAGGAACACCAGUGGCGAAGGCGACUACCUGGCCUGUUCUUGACGCUGAGGCGCGAAAGCUAGGGGAGCAAACGGG
Molecule: ribosomal RNA, 253 nt
Filed under: uncultured bacterium
Lineage: Bacteria
Description: partial 16S ribosomal RNA
Rfam family: Bacterial small subunit ribosomal RNA
Source: RNAcentral